This 825-nucleotide ribosomal RNA is filed under the name uncultured bacterium. RNAcentral describes it as "bacterial SSU rRNA". It matches the Rfam family "Bacterial small subunit ribosomal RNA", at positions 56 to 878 of the family's 1533-position model. The record is from RNAcentral.
UGCAGUCGAACGGCAGCACGGGAGCAAUCCUGGUGGCGAGUGGCGAACGGGUGAGUAAUAUAUCGGAACGUGCCCAGUCGUGGGGGAUAACGCAGCGAAAGCUGUGCUAAUACCGCAUACGAUCUAUGGAUGAAAGCGGGGGAUCGCAAGACCUUGCGCGAUUGGAGCGGCCGAUAUCAGAUUAGCUAGUUGGCGGGGUAAAAGCCCACCAAGGCGACGAUCUGUAGCUGGUCUGAGAGGACGACCAGCCACACUGGAACUGAGACACGGUCCAGACUCCUACGGGAGGCAGCAGUGGGGAAUUUUGGACAAUGGGCGCAAGCCUGAUCCAGCAAUGCCGCGUGCAGGAUGAAGGCCUUCGGGUUGUAAACUGCUUUUGUACGGAGCGAAACGGUCCUUUCUAAUACAAGGGGCUAAUGACGGUACCGUAAGAAUAAGCACCGGCUAACUACGUGCCAGCAGCCGCGGUAAUACGUAGGGUGCAAGCGUUAAUCGGAAUUACUGGGCGUAAAGCGUGCGCAGGCGGUUAUAUAAGACAGAUGUGAAAUCCCCGGGCUCAACCUGGGACCUGCAUUUGUGACUGUAUAGCUAGAGUACGGUAGAGGGGGAUGGAAUUCCGCGUGUAGCAGUGAAAUGCGUAGAUAUGCGGAGGAACACCGAUGGCGAAGGCAAUCCCCUGGACCUGUACUGACGCUCAUGCACGAAAGCGUGGGGAGCAAACAGGAUUAGAUACCCUGGUAGUCCACGCCCUAAACGAUGUCAACUGGUUGUUGGGUCUUCACUGACUCAGUAACGAAGCUAACGCGUGAAGUUGACCGCCUGGGG